RNAcentral lists this long non-coding RNA (575 nucleotides) under Phasianus colchicus (ring-necked pheasant). Its description in RNAcentral is "lncRNA (ENSPCLG00000019968.1)". Lineage: Eukaryota; Metazoa; Chordata; Aves; Galliformes; Phasianidae. The record is from RNAcentral.
GCCAGCCACACCCUUCACCAGGUGCUCAAUCACUAGUUCAAGUCGUGACCUUACAGUUUUCCUACAGUGUUACUUUAGCAUCAUAACAAUAUAGGUAGAAGACAAGAGUCUCUUAUAACACCUAAAUGGGAGAUAAUCUGACCUCACCAACUUAAAGGUCAGCUGCAAUGUAGCACAAUGCAUACAGUUGUACAAGAAGAUGCAAGUUAUAAUGAAUGCACUGGACAGCUGGCAUGUGAAGCGACGGAAAUAAUGAUAACUAUGCAGAUUUCCUUUGGAGAAUCUGGCCUACUCGACAGGAAACUUUAAUUGGAGAAGAAGAAUCUGCAGAGCUAAAAAAGCUGGUUCUAAUAGGAGUCAGAUUUUACAAUGAGAAGGUUGAAAUGUUGCAGGGAGAAAGCUGCUCAUUAUCAGAAAAGUGUCUGAAUCCCAAAGGAAUGAACUGUGGCAAGUUCAAACUCUUUGAAUAUGGUAAAAAUAUAAAAAAGCAACCUAGAGGAUUCACAAGAUACUUUGUGUUUGUCUGUUUAAAAUUCCUUCAGUUUCUCCCAAGAGCUUUAAAUGUAUCUUCAUUC